This 300-nucleotide ribosomal RNA is filed under the name Pseudoclavibacter helvolus. RNAcentral's name for it is "bacterial SSU rRNA". It matches the Rfam family "Bacterial small subunit ribosomal RNA", at positions 50 to 346 of the family's 1533-position model. The record is from RNAcentral. Lineage: Bacteria; Bacillati; Actinomycetota; Actinomycetes; Micrococcales; Microbacteriaceae.
AUCCUACACAUGCAAGUCGUACGAUGAAACCAGCUUGCUGGGUGGAUUAGUGGCGAACGGGUGAGUAACACGUGAGCAACGUGCCCAUAACUCUGGGAUAACCUCCGGAAACGGUGGCUAAUACUGGAUAUCUAACGCGAUCGCAUGGUCUGUGUUUGGAAAGAUUUUUUGGUUAUGGAUCGGCUCACGGCCUAUCAGCUUGUUGGUGAGGUAAUGGCUCACCAAGGCGACGACGGGUAGCCGGCCUGAGAGGGUGACCGGCCACACUGGGACUGAGACACGGCCCAGACUCCUACGGGA